AGUUUGGUGCAGAUCACAUUUGAAGAGGGUCCUCAGUUACUGCCGGCCGCAAAUAUAAGUCGCGUGACGUGCGAGGGACAGUCAGACCACAGCAUGGUGCUGUGCUGCUAUCUGACAGCUGAAGCUGUGAAAUUCCCUGUCUCUGUUACUCAACAGUCUCCCGUUGCUGUUUCUGUGGACACCUAUCAUGUCACUUUGGCUGUGCUGCAGGCUCAGGUGGAGAUUCGCUUGGAGGAGAUAAAGAACGAAGGUCUCCUGGUGUCGUGGAUGUUCAAGGACAGACCAGACUUGAACCUUUCGGUUCUUCCGAG
Long non-coding RNA from Pterocles gutturalis (yellow-throated sandgrouse), 311 nucleotides. RefSeq lists it as uncharacterized. The transcript has 3 exons. The record is from RefSeq and is a predicted model, not a curated record. NCBI's taxonomy places the organism in Eukaryota, Metazoa, Chordata, Aves, Pterocliformes, Pteroclidae.